UCCAGAUGGGGAGACAUUACCGAACAGCUUCUACGAUGUAAAGCAGUUAAAUAAGGAUCUUGGUUUGACAUACCAAAAAAUUGAUGCGUGUCCGAAUGAUUGUAUGCUAUACUGGAAAGAAUCUAUACUUGAUGAUUCUUGUAAGCAUUGUGGGCAAAGUAGGUACCAAAAACAAGAUGUUGAGGAGAAUGGUGAUACCAGAAAAGUCCCGGCUAAAGUGCUUAGAUACUUUCCACUAACACCUAGAUUGCAGCGCUUAUAUUUGUCAAGGUAUACAGCCGAUCACAUGUCGUGGCAUGCAAAGGACUAAUGGCUGUGGACCAAGGUUUGUUUCCAAUUGAUGUACAAGAUUGGCGACGUUUGAACAUGGAACAACACUAGGCAAUGCAUGGAAACGAAUCAAGAGGACAAUUGAUUGGUCUGAUCCGGAAAUGAGAAAAAAGGCACCCAAAAUACGGGCCGUGGCUGAGUAGAAACUCAAUCAACUUUGGAAGAAACACAAGGCCAAUCUAAAAAAGAAUUGGUAUGAUCCUUUUUUGAAUUCAGAGGAGCGAUGGAAUUGCACUGAUGACAAGGUUAGCAAAGAACAGUGGAGGUUAUUGGUGCAAUAUUGGGAGACUGGUCCAGCGCAGAAACGAUCGAUCACAAAUAAAUGUAAUCGUGCGAAGCGCAGGAUGCACCACACAACGGGGACAAAAUCAUAUGCCCAAGUGAGGAACCAAUAUAAGGUGAAUCACAGGGGUGUCUCCCCUGACUGAUGCAAAAUGUUUGAACUAUGCCACCUAAGAAAGAAUGGAACACCUGUGAAUGAGACAGCUGCAAAAGCUAUGAUGAGGCUGAAUUUGAUUGUAUUUUAGGAUUUGUUGUCUUGUGCUGUUUGUUAAAGAGGCAUCCAUGUAAUAGAAUGCACAGUUAACAUAUUGUUAAUGUAUGACUUUUGUAAUUUUCUUUUGGUUACCCUUGACAACUUUGUAAUAGGAUGUGUAUU
Long non-coding RNA from Prunus mume (Japanese apricot), 988 nucleotides. RefSeq lists it as uncharacterized. Lineage: Eukaryota; Viridiplantae; Streptophyta; Magnoliopsida; Rosales; Rosaceae. The record is from RefSeq and is a predicted model, not a curated record.